GAUGAACGCUGGCGGCGUGCUUAAUACAUGCAAGUCGAGCGAACAGACGAGGCGCUUGCUCCUUUGUCGUUAGCGGCGGACGGGUGAGUAACACGUGGAACACCUACCUAUAAGACUGGGAUAAUUUCGGGACACCGGAUCUAAUACCGGAUAAUAUAUUGAUCCGCAUGGUUCAAUAGUGAAAGUCGGUUUUGCUGUCUCUUAUAGAUGGAUCCGCGCCGCAUUAGCUAGUUGGUAAGGUAACGGCUUAUCAAGGCAACGAUGCGUAGGCGACCUGAGAGGGUGAUCGGCCACACUGGAACUGAGACACGGUCCAGGCUCCUACGGGAGGCAGCAGUAGGGAAUCUUCCGCAGUGGGCGGAAACCUGACGGAGCAACGCCGCGUGAGUGAUGGAGGUCUUCGGAGCGUAAAACUCUGUUAUUAGGGAAGAACAAAUGUGUAAGUAACUAUGCACGUCUUGACGGUACCUAAUCAGAAAGCCACGGCUAACUACGUG
This 497-nucleotide ribosomal RNA is filed under the name uncultured bacterium. Its description in RNAcentral is "partial 16S ribosomal RNA". It matches the Rfam family "Bacterial small subunit ribosomal RNA", at positions 28 to 507 of the family's 1533-position model. The record is from RNAcentral.